This 301-nucleotide ribosomal RNA is filed under the name uncultured bacterium. Its description in RNAcentral is "partial 16S ribosomal RNA". It matches the Rfam family "Bacterial small subunit ribosomal RNA", at positions 509 to 809 of the family's 1533-position model. The record is from RNAcentral.
CAGUAGCCGCGGUAAUACAGAGGGUGCGAGCGUUAAUCGGAUUUACUGGGCGUAAAGCGUGCGUAGGCGGCUAAUUGAGUCGGAUGUGAAAUCCCCGAGCUUAACUUGGGAAUUGCAUUCGAUACUGGUUAGCUAGAGUGUGGGAGAGGAUGGUAGAAUUCCAGGUGUAGCGGUGAAAUGCGUAGAGAUCUGGAGGAAUACCGAUGGCGAAGGCAGCCAUCUGGCCUAACACUGACGCUGAGGUACGAAAGCAUGGGGAGCAAACAGGAUUAGAGACCCCUGUAGUCCCUGUCUCUUAUAA